GACGCUUCUCGCCUUUGGCUAAAGAUCAAAUGUAGUAUCUUGUUCUUUCAGUUUAAUAUCGAUAAUUGGCCCCUAUCUGGGGACCAUAUAUUAAAUUGAUUUUGGAACAGGGAGAUGGAAUAGGGGGUUGCUCUCCACUAAAGGACGAACUGGUAUGCAGUACUUUCCCGGACGUACUUCUCCUU
Molecule: small nuclear RNA, 185 nt
Organism: Polypterus senegalus (gray bichir)
Lineage: Eukaryota; Metazoa; Chordata; Cladistia; Polypteriformes; Polypteridae
Product: U2 spliceosomal RNA
Exons: 1
Source: RefSeq, a predicted model, not a curated record